RNAcentral lists this ribosomal RNA (391 nucleotides) under uncultured Planctomycetales bacterium. Its description in RNAcentral is "bacterial SSU rRNA". It matches the Rfam family "Bacterial small subunit ribosomal RNA", at positions 376 to 757 of the family's 1533-position model. The record is from RNAcentral. Lineage: Bacteria; Pseudomonadati; Planctomycetota; Planctomycetia; Planctomycetales.
CCGAAGGGUGACGAAGCGACGCCGCGUGGGUGAGGAAGGCCUUCGGGUUGUAAAGCCCUGUCAGGAGUUAAGAAAUGUAAGUGCGCUAAUAUCGCAUUUAUUUGACGAAGGCUCCAAAGGAAGUCACGGCUAACUCUGUGCCAGCAGCCGCGGUAAUACAGAGGUGGCAAGCGUUGUUCGGAAUUAUUGGGCGUAAAGAGCACGUAGGUGGGUUUGUAAGUCAGAUGUGAAAGCCUUCUGUUCAACGGAAGAAUUGCAUCUGAAACUGCGAGUCUUGAGUGUAGGAGGGGAGAAUGGAACUUCUGGUGGGGCGGUGAAAUGCGUAGAUAUCAGAAGGAACGCCGGCGGCGAAAGCGAUUCUCUGGCCUAUUACUGACACUCAGUGUGCGAA